UACGUAGGGUGCGAGCGUUAAUCGGAAUUACUGGGCGUAAAGCGUGCGCAGGCGGUGAUGUAAGACAGUUGUGAAAUCCCCGGGCUUAACCUGGGAAUGGCAUUGGUGACUGCACGGCUAGAGUGUGUCAGAGGGGGGUAGAAUUCCACGUGUAGCAGUGAAAUGCGUAGAGAUGUGGAGGAAUACCGAUGGCGAAGGCAGCCCCCUGGGAUAACACUGACGCUCAUGCACGAAAGCGUGGGGAGCAAACAGG
This 253-nucleotide ribosomal RNA is filed under the name uncultured bacterium. RNAcentral's name for it is "partial 16S ribosomal RNA". It matches the Rfam family "Bacterial small subunit ribosomal RNA", at positions 524 to 776 of the family's 1533-position model. The record is from RNAcentral.